UGGGGAUGACGUCAAGUCAUCAUGGCCCUUACGACCAGGGCUACACACGUGCUACAAUGGCGCAUACAAAGAGAAGCGACCUCGCGAGAGCAAGCGGACCUCAUAAAGUGCGUCGUAGUCCGGAUUGGAGUCUGCAACUCGACUCCAUGAAGUCGGAAUCGCUAGUAAUCGUGGAUCAGAAUGCCACGGUGAAUACGUUCCCGGGCCUUGUACACACCGCCCGUCACACCAUGGGAGUGGGUUGCAAAAGAAGUAGGUAGCUUAACCUUCGGGAGGGCGCUUACCACUUUGUGAUUCAUGACUGGGGUGAAGUCGUAACAAGGUAACCGUAGGGGAACCUGCGGUUGGA
RNAcentral lists this ribosomal RNA (349 nucleotides) under Escherichia coli. RNAcentral describes it as "bacterial SSU rRNA". It matches the Rfam family "Bacterial small subunit ribosomal RNA", at positions 1174 to 1522 of the family's 1533-position model. The record is from RNAcentral. Lineage: Bacteria; Pseudomonadati; Pseudomonadota; Gammaproteobacteria; Enterobacterales; Enterobacteriaceae. RNAcentral also lists the same sequence under 4 other names.